CUACGGGCGGCUGCAGUGAGGAAUAUUGCACAAUGGGGGGAACCCUGAUGCAGCAACGCCGCGUGGAGGAUGACGCAUUUCGGUGUGUAAACUCCUUUUAUAUGUCAAGAAAAUGACGGUAGCAUAUGAAUAAGCACCGGCUAACUCCGUGCAGCAGCCGCGGUAAUACGGAGGGUGCAAGCGUUACUCGGAAUCACUGGGCGUAAAGGACGCGUAGGCGGGUUGGAAAGUCAGGUGUGAAAUCCUACAGCUUAACUGUAGAACUGCACUUGAAACAUCUAAUCUAGAGUAUGGGAGGGGGAGAUGGAAUUAGUGGUGUAGGGGUAAAAUCCGUAGAUAUCACUAGGAAUACCUAAAGCGAAGGCGAUCUCCUGGAACAUUACUGACGCUAAGGCGUGAAAGCGUGGGGAGCAAACAGGAUUAGAUACCCUCGUAGUC
RNAcentral lists this ribosomal RNA (438 nucleotides) under uncultured bacterium. Its description in RNAcentral is "partial 16S ribosomal RNA". It matches the Rfam family "Bacterial small subunit ribosomal RNA", at positions 339 to 795 of the family's 1533-position model. The record is from RNAcentral.